RNAcentral lists this ribosomal RNA (274 nucleotides) under uncultured bacterium. RNAcentral describes it as "partial 16S ribosomal RNA". It matches the Rfam family "Bacterial small subunit ribosomal RNA", at positions 523 to 796 of the family's 1533-position model. The record is from RNAcentral.
AUACGGAGGGUGCGAGCGUUAAUCGGAAUUACUGGGCGUAAAGCGUGCGUAGGCGGCAUGGUCAGUCGGAUGUGAAAGCCCAGGGCUUAACCUUGGAAUUGCAUUCGAUACUGCCAAGCUAGAGUAUGUUAGAGGAAAGUGGAAUUCCCGGUGUAGCGGUGAAAUGCGUAGAUAUCGGGAGGAACAUCAGUGGCGAAGGAGACUUUCUGGAUCAAUACUGACGCUGAGGUACGAAAGCGUGGGGAGCAAACAGGAUUAGAUACCCUAGUAGUCC